UACGUAGGGUGCAAGCGUUGUCCGGAAUUAUUGGGCGUAAAGAGCUCGUAGGCGGUUUGUCGCGUCGGCUGUGAAAAGCCCGGAGCUCAACUCCGGGUCUGCAGUCGAUACGGGCAGACUUGAGUGUUGCAGGGGAGACUGGAAUUCCUGGUGUAGCGGUGAAAUGCGCAGAUAUCGGGAGGAACACCGGUGGCGAAGGCGGUUCUCUGGGCCUUACCUGACGCUGAGGAGCGAAAGCGUGGGGAGCGAACAGG
Molecule: ribosomal RNA, 254 nt
Filed under: uncultured bacterium
Lineage: Bacteria
Description: partial 16S ribosomal RNA
Rfam family: Bacterial small subunit ribosomal RNA
Source: RNAcentral